AAAGGAGUAUUAUUUAGUGUCUUAUUUCAUUUAUCGUCACUUGUUUAGAGUACAAAGCUAGUUUCAAGGUAGGUUUGAUUACCAAUUGAAAAAAUAAAAACAAAAUUAUUCAAUGUUUAAUACAAUUAUUGAAGAGAUUAUUUGCUUGUAGGAGAAUUCAAUCUUUCCAGCACGGCAUUCACAAUAGCUAUCAAUGCACACAGAAAGUUCAUAUUGCCUACAGAAAGUUCAAGCAACUGUGAGAUUUAACUUUUUUCAAAACAACAAAUAACAAAAGAAAUAAAAUUAUAGCUACAACAAAGUUAAGUUGAGAAUAUCAAAUCAAAGUUGCAAGGUGCGUGAAUUUGUGUAACAACCAAAAUCAAGACAAUUUAAUUUCAUUACCAACAUUAUCUCUUUUUUUUUAUUGGAAUGCAUUAUCAACAUUAUAUUAGCAAAAUAAAGCAAAAUAAAAAAAAAAAAUGAUGAUUGGUUCCUUACUAGUAGAAGUCAUUCUACCCAAGUAAUUUAAGACAAUAGCCAUGACU
This 527-nucleotide long non-coding RNA is filed under the name Trifolium pratense (red clover). RNAcentral describes it as "long non-coding RNA (TPRA_LNC009143)". Lineage: Eukaryota; Viridiplantae; Streptophyta; Magnoliopsida; Fabales; Fabaceae. The record is from RNAcentral.